CCCUUAGAUGUUCUGGGCUGCACGCGCGCUACACUGAUGCGCUCAACGAGUUUAUAACCUUGUCCGGCAGGAUUGGGUAAUCUUUUUAAAACGCAUCGUGAUGGGGAUAGAUUAUUGCAAUUAUUAAUCUUCAACGAGGAAUUCCUAGUAAGCGCGAGUCAUCAGCUCGUGCUGAUUACGUCCCUGCCCUUUGUACACACCGCCCGUCGCUACUACCGAUUGAACGGUUUAGUGAGGGCCUCGGAUUGGUCUCGGCCCGCUCUUUACCGGGCGGCGCCGUUGGUCGAGAAGACGCUCGAACUUGAUCGUUUAGAGGAAGUAAAAGUCGUAACA
Molecule: ribosomal RNA, 333 nt
Filed under: uncultured eukaryote
Lineage: Eukaryota
Description: partial 18S ribosomal RNA
Rfam family: Eukaryotic small subunit ribosomal RNA
Source: RNAcentral